AUUUCCUUCAGCCAAUGUGAUGAGGAAGAGGAUGGAGGGAAAGAACAAUGCAGGCAUGGCGAUGCCCACUGGGAUGCCACGUCCCCCAGCCCGAUCUGUGCAGAGUCCUGCAUGAUACCGCCUUGUCAUGUAACCACUCCAGCCUGAAUCCCAGAUGCAAAACCCAGUUCAAACUACUUCCCCAGACCCAGAAGCAAGAGAUCCCUUGGUCUCCUGUGGUCUGGAUGGGACCUGGAGAACCAGCAAUUAUGACAAGGCCAUCAGCAACUUCCUAGGUAAGCUGAAAGACCGGCAAGCUCCAGGACACCAAAGAUGCUCCAUAUGUGCUCCAUCUUCAUGGAUGUGCAUGAUGCCACUGACUGCUUUUACAGCCCCUGAGCAAGAUGGGCAAGAGGGAGCUUCCUGCCCAUCCCAUGACAUCCUAGCAGCUCCAAAAGAACUACAGAAAAAUGUGCAAGGAGCAUGGGAUGCCAUCACUCCUGGGACCUCAAGCCACUUCCUCAUUUGUUUAGCCUUUAUCAAAAUGUAGUUUAGUUGAUAGAGUGCUUACCUAUCUAGUAUACAUGAAGUCCUAGAUUUAACCCCCAUAACCACAUAAAACCAAGCAUAGUGGUGCAUGCCUGCAAUCCCAACACAAGAGAGAGAGAGAGAGAGAGAGAGAGAGAGAGAGAGAGAAGGUUUAAAAGACUAAAGUCAUCUUCCACUACAUAGUGGAUUCAAAGCCAACCUGGGAUACAUAACAUAAGCCCUUGUCCUCCUCCUCCUCCAAUAUCAGCAUACUUUCCAAUCCCUGGUACAUGAGCUCACUCCACUAGGCAGUUUUCUUGUAAGCCAGUGAUUCUACUAACAGCAAUGGACUGGUGUCUUCCAUGGGACACAUGUGUAGAGGCAGGAACAGCAUUCAAGGACUCUUGGUCCUAUCACAAGGGACAUGGCCUCAUGAUGUCUGAAUACCCUUCUUAAAAGUCCAAGACCCACAUACCUACAAAUAUUUCCCCCAAAUCCUCUGGGUAAAUCUUAAUAUUAGAAUCCUGCAAGCAGCCUGGUUAUGUUUGGAGAAGAAAGGAAAAGCCUGAAACUCCCAGAGUUACUAACAUUCACCUCAUGUCCAGCCAUGACAUGAAGGAUUGCUUGUUUUGAUUGCCUAGUACUGACAAAGUUAUAACCCUGCCAGGCCACUACAUCAUUAGCAAGCAAGCUGCUUGAAGUCAAAAGACUUGGGUUUAAAUGAUAGCUCUACUACCAACUGACUCUAUGACCUCAGGAAAAAUUUCCUAACUUCUCUGUCACUCAAAUUUCUCAUUUCAGGCUAGGAAUAUAUCUGUCAGUUAGAGAAAAUGUGCACAGAGCACCAGAGAUUUUAGAUUUGGACUCUUGUAGAGCAGGAAUAUUUUCUCAUUUCCCAUGGAAACAGGACAAGACUAAUAUGGUUUAGUAAAUACUUAGCAGAAUGAAGGAGAACAUUUUCCCCCAAUG
Molecule: long non-coding RNA, 1476 nt
Organism: Mus musculus (house mouse)
Lineage: Eukaryota; Metazoa; Chordata; Mammalia; Rodentia; Muridae
Product: predicted gene, 31720
Exons: 3
Source: RefSeq, a predicted model, not a curated record